RNAcentral lists this long non-coding RNA (7642 nucleotides) under Nicotiana tabacum (common tobacco). RNAcentral's name for it is "long non-coding RNA (NTAB_LNC014338)". Lineage: Eukaryota; Viridiplantae; Streptophyta; Magnoliopsida; Solanales; Solanaceae. The record is from RNAcentral.
GCAAUUUUCUCUACUAGAGUAUUCUUUUCUUUGCUAAGGUUCUCUAUGGUUUCCUUCAAGUCAACAACAACUACCAUCAAAUCAUCUCUAGAUUGUUCAACAUCUCCUAGCUCUAUGAUUAGGGCAUCUUUAUCAUUAAUAAAACUAUAAUAUAUAUCAAUUAGAACAUUUGCUAAUGCCAUCAGUUUUUUCGAAGAGUAGGACUUCAGAUUUGUAUGACCAUCCCUAAAAUUUACCUCAUCAUUAUCAUCCUCAUCAGACUGAGCCAUCAACGCAAACAAUGAAUCAUAUUCCUUUGCUUCAUUUUUUACUGCCAUCAUGGAGCCGCUUCCUGUAUCUGGUUCCUAUUCUAAUUCAUUGGAGGAAUCUUCCGAUACAGCAAGAGCUUGCUUCACAACAUUAUCUGUUGUACUUUUGCAGCUGAUCGUUUGUCAGGAACCGGGUUCCUUUUUGCUACUUUGUCAGAGUUGUGUUUUUAAUGCUCUUGUUUCAGAAAUGGGCAGUCUUUGAUGAAAUGCCCUUGUUUUCCGCACUUGUGACAACAAUCGUAUCCUUUAGUGUUUCUACUAGAACUACCCUUCUUGGGAGUGCCUCUAUUUCUACGAACCAUUUUCUGAAAUCUUUGUGGUAUAUUGGUUGAUUGAUUUUCCUCAAAGUUUGGUGGAGCAGCCAUGUAGAUCAUUUCUAGGUGUUAACCUUUUAGAAAGAACCCGCUCUGAUACCAAUUGUUUGAAACUAAGCGUCCACCAGAAUGUAUAGAGAACCAGAUCCUCUAUCAGUUCCUACUGUAAGCAAUAGACUGUAAAACCAACCAAUAUAGGGAAUCAGGUUCUCUAAUUGUUCCCACUGUAGCUCGGUAGUAAAUAAAGAAUAUAGAGAAUUUUUAUGUGAAAAAAUCCCAAAUCAAGGGGACAAAAACCAUGACCUACACUUGUAAGCUUUCAAUUUCACUAACUUAUAAACACCUAUUACAAGCCACUUUGUAAUGACUCCACUACAAAGAAUUCAACUCAACUAACUUGUGGUACUCUCACCACAAGUCACUUUGUCACUCUCUAGUUACAAAGACUUUAACUAACUUAUGGUACUCUUAUCACAAUCCACUUUGUCACUCUCUAGUUACAAAGACUUUAACUAACUUGUAACAACACUAUUACAAGCCACUUUGUAAUAACUCUAUUACAAAGACUUCACAACUCGACUAACUCUAGCCAAGACACAAACUUAGAGGGUUUGUGAUUUUGGAUUUCCUAAAACAUAACUUCUAAGAAAGCAAGAUAAGAGUUACAAAUGAAGAACAAAUAACAAAGACUCAACAAACCUAAGGACUUAAGAUAUCUUCAAUCUUGGAUUCGAUCCUUGAGGUUGCAGCAGCUUUGUUCUUGAGAGAGGUUGUAGCAAGCCCUUGAGAGAAUAUCUUCUUUUUAAUUUUGCAAGUGUUUAAGAGAAUGUCUUUUGCCUUGCACCAGGUUUAUACUACAAAAGACAUCACCAUGGUGAUGUCAAUUCAUAAUGGAGAUGUCAAUUCUUGGUUAGUACAUGCCUCUUCCUAAUGGGAAGUGACUGAUGCAUUGUCUGUUGAACUGUCACGUGUACUGUUGCAUGUAGUCACUUUAUGCAGUUGCUUUCCAACUGCAUAGUUGACUUAUACUUCUGUUGGGGGAACACCAAGGGAUCAGGUCCCUAAUCUGGUUCUUGUGAAUCUAAAGGCACACUACCCAGAUUAUCUUGAGUCGAUUAACUUGAAUGAUUGUACCAGGCAUGCUUCAGGUCCUUUAUCUGGUUCUCUCAUGAAGUAUGUUGUUUUACCUUCCUUGAUUUUAUGUAUACGUGUGUGACAUCACUUAAAAUGAUGUAAGCAAGGUAGGUAAAAAGCCUUCCAUAGAAAGUUGACUGUUGCACUGCUCCUGUAUAGUGGUGUGUGCAGGCAUCAACUUUCCUUCUUGAAAAUUGACUUCAUACAGUCUUUUCGGGAACUGGUAGGGACCUGUUCCCUCAACUGUUCCUUCCACUUUGAAGAGUUGAGUUAUAUCCCACGCUAGAUCCCUACCUGGAACUUUGUGAUCUCAAGAUCUUGUAAAUAUGUAACAGGUACUUUAUCUAAUUCUGGAUGGUAAGUUUGUCAGAUCAUCAAAACAUAAAGUAAAGUACUUAUGCCCAAGAUACUUGUAACCCAUCAAUUUCUUUAUUUUUGAUGAUGACAAACUUAGAAUUGAUAUUCCCCGCGAGAACCAAAUCUAUACAUUGUCCCCCCUAUGAAUCAACCAUAUUCCCUAUGAGAACCAAACCUAAGGAGUUGAUCACAACUAGUUCCUCAAGACUGUUUGGAAAAUCAUCAAAACUCAAAGUACCAUAACUUAUCAAUUUCCCCCUUUUUGAUGAAUGGCAAACCCAAAAUUAUUCCCCCUGAGAAUCAAAUUCCUUACCUACACUGAUCACAUCUGGUUUGUACCCAGUUCGUUGAGAACGUUUGUCAUCAUCAAAACAUGACAUAGUGUAACUUAGAAUAAUUUCCCCCUUUUUGAUGAGGACAAAACCGAAAUUAAUAUUCCUCUUGAGAACCAGAAUCCUCACAUGUUUCCCUGUGGAUCAGACCUAUAAUCAACAUAUUAUUAGCAACAUUCCCCAUGCAAAGCAGAGCUAUAUUUCAUGCAUAACACAACAUAUCAAUUCGAUUCUGUUCCUUCCCCAUGUUGACACCUAUAUAACUUCCCCCUUUUGUCAUCAUCGAAAAGAAUAACAGAAGAAGCACAACCAAAAAGAAGUUCAGCAACAUUAACUCAUGCCACUUGGGCAACACAGCAUAAACAAUAACAAAAACAACAAGUAAAUGUCAUUGCACAAAAUAGAGUGAUUGCCCAUAGUGGACUAAUUAUAAUAAAAGCACAGUAGUUUCAACAAUACAUACUAUGACAAUUUAAACAACUAAAGUACCAAUGUCAUCAAAUAUAGGAUCAAAAGAAGAUAAGAAUUCAAGGGAAUUUGGAAGGAGUGAAAGACAUAGAUCACUAGGUAGGAGGAAAAGUAAGGGGCUAAGGAAUGGACAAGCUCAUCUGCUCUCUCAAUUUCUCCACUUGUUUCCUCAAACUUUCAUUCUCACCCUUCAACUUAGCAUUCCAUUCUGCCAAGGGUCCACGAGGACCCAGUUCUCAACCUAUCUGAGUAGGCUGAACCAUCAAUCAGAGCACCAAGAAUCUCCCUAAGCUUCUUCUCAUCAAGAACAAACUCAGUCCCAUGCACAUAUAGCAUCAGAGUAUCACAUAAAACAUAGAAGUUUUUACUUCUUCUUCAUAAACGUUGGGACUUGGAGGAACAAAGAGGUGAUUCUAUUUUUGGAACUCAACAAUGUCAAGAAGUUCCUCCAUUUUUCAGCAAUAUCAGAGUUAACACUCUGCCUAACAACACUUUUUUGAGACUUCAGAGUCUUUUACCUCUGCAAACCCGAUAACUCAACCCUUUGCUUUUGUAAGGAACCAGGUUCCUCAUUUACACUACUCUUUCUAUCCUGAGCAGUCAUGUCUCCCUCUUUUUCUUCUUAAUCUGUUUACCCUUAUCAUUUGCUGCAUCUUUCUCAGUCAACUUUCUUUUCCCAUUUUUUUAAUUCUCUCUUUCACAAUCACACCAGCAAGUCACACGACUUCAUCAUCAAUCAACCUACUUUUCAUCAAUCCUUUUUACUGGAUCUGAAGUUCGUUUAAACACAGAACUCAAAAAAGAAAAAGAUCAUCAUUAAAAUUGACUUCCUGAGAAGGACCUGAGGGAUCAGGUCCCUCAUUCAGUUCUCACAUUUACCAAUUUCUCCAUCUUUCAAGACUUCCACAAAUCCAACAACAAUUUCAGCCUCACGCUCUAGAAUAUUAGAUCUACCUUGUUCCCUUUCAGUUAAACAUCCAUCAAAAUCUACUAAAGACUUCAUGGGGUUUCGAUUCAGAUGGAGUUAGGAUUUUGGAAAGUGACAGAGUUGGGUUCACUUCUGGCGUAUUUGGAGAGAAGGAUUCUUUGGAGACAAGGUUGAUUUUGGUUUUGAAGAAAAGAAUCGGUUUUGGUUGGGUGUAGGAUAGAGAAGUGAUUUUUUGGGGCAACAGGUCAGUUCAGAAAGGUUUAACAUUUUGGACUUCAAAAGUUAGGAGGAGAGACAGGAGAAAAGCAGAAACAAAUUAAUGACAUGACACUUCAUCAACUUAAGAAGGCAUAUAAGUAUUGAAGAGAAUACUAACCUGAGUCAUAGGAACCAGGUUUCUUGACGGUUUUUGAAAAUUUUGAGCAAAAACUCCUAGAAGUGCAAUGUCACUCUUACUUGUUUUUGUCCUGAAACUGCCAUAUGUGUAUACCUAUAACAGUAUAGAUUUGAGUUAGAUGUCGCCGAAAAAUACUUUUUAGUAUUGUACCUUUCCUUCUUAACAUAGCCAAUCAUCGAGGGACCAGGUCUUUAGUUGAGCUUGAUCAACCCCAACUCCAGACGAUCUCUUUCAAAGUGUUCAUUGCCAGCGCCUUGGUGAAGAUGUCUACUACCUAGUCCUCCGUCUUCCAGAACUUCAUACAAAUCAGAACGUUUUCAACAUUAUCCCUCAAAAAGUGAUGAGCACAUCAAUGCACUUUGUCCUCUUGUGUUGUACCGGGUUCAAGGUAUAAAUACACUAAAGUUUUCAAUAUGUUUCUUGAUCCGUAGAGUUGAGCACAACAAGAAGCAACAACCAUAUAUUCAGCUUCAGCAGUAGAAAGAGCCACACAGUUUAUUUCUUUGUACCCCAUGAGAUCAAGCAUGACCCCAGAAAAAUGUGCCAUUCUAGAAGUGUUUUUUUCUGUCCACCAGAUAUUCAACAUAAUCAGCAUCAACAACCCUAUGUUCAGCUCAAGUCGAGGUGAUACAGGGACCAGGUUCCUCUAUGCCUUUUGGAGAUUCUACUGCAUCUCCUUCAUCCUUUUGCUUGACUUGACUCAUCAAAUCAGUCUUUCUAUUUGCAAUAUCUAUAGCUUCACCAGGAGCAUUUAUGAAUUCUUCAUCUUCAUCUUCUUUGUUAUAUGACCCUUUUUCCACCAUUGUUGAGAACAAAACAUUUUGCAUCCAAAGGCUCUCGGGUAGGUCAACUUGGCUUUUUUUCCUUCCUAUUGAGCAGUUCAUAUAGAGACUUCUCGAGAAGGGAUCUGAUCAUGCAUUUGUUAAUAGAGUAGCAAGCAGUGUUGACUGCUUCAGCCCAUGAACCAGGUCCUCCAUAACCAACUUGUUCAACAAGUAGAAACUCACAUGCCUAGUCAUCUUCACCAUAACUCAACAUCAUCAUCAAUGACUCUUAGGCAUGUUAGAUCAUCACCAUGUAGAGACUUAAAAUCUACAUCAGCCUAUCCUAUUAAGUCAAGGUUAUCCCCUGAAGGAUAGUAGAAAACCAGGUCCUGCAUCCCUUUGAGAUAUCUUAAGAUUCUCUUGGCAGCUUUCAGAUGAGAUUCCCUUGGAUUGGAUUGAAACUUAGCACAAAAACCCACACUAAAAACAAUAUCUAGUCUGCUACAGAAGUGACCCUAUGAUACCUCUAUACAUGAUCUGAUUUAUAGGGGAACCAGGUUCAUCCAUUCUGGACAAGUAGCUGUGGCGAUGGGAGUGUCUAUGAUUUUUGAUGUCUUUAUGUCAAAUCUCUUCAGCAGCUUCUUGAUGUACUUAUGUUGUCUUAUCAUUAUCCCCCUUGGGAGUUUACUUCACUUGUAAAUCUAAGAAGAGAUUCAGUUCCCCCAUCGUACUCAUUUCUAACUCACUUCCCAUGAGUUAUGCAAAUUUUUCUCAUUGAGAAUCAACUGUUUCUCCAAAGAUGAUGCCAUCAACAUAGAUCUGCACAAUAAGUAGGUUCCUUCCUCGAUUCUUCAGAAAAAGAGUGUUGCCAAUUUUUCCUCUUGUAAAUCAAUUUUCUAGAAGGAAUUUUGACAACCUUUCACACCAAGCAUGGGGAGCCUGGCUCCUAUAACAGUUCUAUCAGCAAGUCGUGGAACCAAGUUCCACACAUUGUUCCUCUCAAGUUGACGGAGCUCUUCUUGCAUAGCUGUAAUCCAGUCAGCAUCUUUCAAUGCUUCCUUGAUAUUCUUAGGCUCUAUUUGAGAUAGAAAGGCUGAGAAGGCAAGUAAGUUUCUUGUCUUUGAUCUGGUUUGGAUUCCUCAGCAGCUGGAGUCUUAUGUACCGCAUCCACAACUCUGUUUUCUGCUUCAGAUAUUGUGAUUGAGGGACCAGGUUCCUUUAUGUCGGUUGGAAUCUCAUCUUCAAUUCUCUUUCAUCCUCUACAUGGCAUCCUCAUUGGUCCACAUAGAUCCACAUGGAGGAUAUCAAGUGGGCUUGAAAGAGGAUCUGACUUGCUUUCCUUUUACAAAUGUAUCACACACCCUGUGAUCCUUGAAGCUUGACUUGAGCAGACCACGAACCAAGUCCUUUUUGACUAAUUUGUUCAGUAGCAUGAAACUUGCAUGACCCAACCUUCUGUGCCAUAGCUCAGCAUUAUCAUUAACAACACUCAGAAAGCUAAGAUCUCCUUGUCACAGAUUUGGGGAAAAACCCAACAAGUUAUACUUCAACCCCUUCACGAAGUACGCUUGUUCAAUAGAGUGGGAAAGAGACUUUUCGAUCCUUCCAACUCCCAGAAUGUAUCCCUUCUUGCCAUUUUCAAAGGAUACACUCCCUUCUUGCAGGGACUUUAGUGAAAAGAAAUUAUUUGUACUUCCAGUCAUGAGCUUCGAGCAGUCGCUAUCCAUGUACCACUGUUGACUGCUCCCUUUCACUGUUCACUGCACACUAAAUCUAUGAUUAGACUUAGGAACCCAAGCCAGAUUGGGACCCUUAUAAUAAUAGAACGGGUAGAUCAGACUUCAUUUCCCAUGCAGACAACACAUAUUUUCUUUUCAGGGAACCAGGUUCCUCAUUAGUAUGCCUCUUUUUAACAAAAACUUUAUUUUUCUGUAAAGAUUGUAUUUUAACUUUACAAGAGUCCUUGUAAUGACCAGUUUGACCACAGUGAGUGCAUAACCUAUUAUCAGCCACAAUUACAUACUUCCCAUGGGGAUUAUAGGAGGUUUUAGCCUUUUGGAACUCGAUGCCUUGCCUGUUUCCACCAUUACUCUUGUACAUAGGCGUUAUUACAUCAGAGGACCGGGUCCAUUUAAGCGACUUAUCAAGAUCAUUUUAAACCUUUUUUAAAUCCUCCUGAAGUUGUCUAUUCUUUUCAAGCUCAACAACAAGAUUUAUUUUAACUUUCUUAAGCUCACUCUGAAGCUCAAGUUGAGCCUUACUAGCCACUUCCUCUCCCUCAGUGUUGUCCAUCCAUUUUUUUGUUUGUUUUUUCAACAAGUUAUGUUCUCUAGUUACUUCUUCCACUUGUUCCCUUAAAUCAACAAUGGAAACUACCAUAUCAUCUAGUUCUUGCUCAGUAGCUACAAUUUUCUCUACUAGAGUAUUCUUUUCUAUGCUAAGGUUCUCUAUGGUUUCCUUCAAGUCAACAACCACUACCAUCAAAUCAUCUCUAGAUUAUUCAGCAUCUCCUAGCUCUAUGAUUAGGGCAUCUUUAUCAUUAACAAAACUAUAAUAUGUAUCAAUUAGAACAUUUGCUAAUGCCAUCCGUUUUUUCGAAGAGUAGGACUUCAUAUUUCUCUAAACAUCCCUAAAAUUUAC